This 253-nucleotide ribosomal RNA is filed under the name uncultured bacterium. RNAcentral's name for it is "partial 16S ribosomal RNA". It matches the Rfam family "Bacterial small subunit ribosomal RNA", at positions 524 to 776 of the family's 1533-position model. The record is from RNAcentral.
UACGGAGGGGACUAGCGUCGUUCGGAAUUACUGGGCGUAAAGCGCACGUAGGCGGAUUUGUAAGUCAGGGGGGAAAUCCCGGGGCUCAACCUCGGAACUGCCUUUGAUACUGCAAAUCUCGAGUCCGGAAGAGGUGAGUGGAAUUCCUAGUGUAGAGGUGAAAUUCGUAGAUAUUAGGAAGAACACCAGUGGCGAAGGCGGCUCACUGGUCCGGUACUGACGCUGAGGUGCGAAAGCGUGGGGAGCAAACAGG